This 4571-nucleotide long non-coding RNA is filed under the name Homo sapiens (human). RNAcentral's name for it is "HSALNT0395149". The record is from RNAcentral. Lineage: Eukaryota; Metazoa; Chordata; Mammalia; Primates; Hominidae.
UGAGAGUGUCUCACUUGCCCUGACUUCCCAGCAACCCUAGGGGAGAGUUCCAGUCUCCAUUCCAUGGAAAGGCUUCUUGUCACAUCAUUGUCCCAGGAAAACUGCCCAUGACAUCAUUCUCUGAGCUCUACCCCAGGCACCUCAUAGAAGAUUCACGUCAAUGAUCUCCAGUGAGGUGCAAUUCGCUUGAGCUAAAGUGCCCUGUACAAUCUAGGGUGAUCUGCAGAAGCCAGGGUACCCUGUAGGAGCUGGGGUACCCUGUAUGAACUGCUGGGUAUCCUGCAUGCACCUGGUACCCUGUAUGAGCUGGGAUAUCCUUUAUGAGCUGAGGUGCAGUCUCCACUCAACCCACUAUGAGAAAAACAUCAAACUCCAAUUCUUCAGUGUUCCUGCCGGUCCUCCUCAGAACAGCCAAGGUCAAGGUCAUUCAACACAGGAAAGUCUGAGAAUCCAUCACCACCAAGAGGAGUCUAAGGAGAACUGAGGAUUGAGGGCCAUGGGGUGUCCCGGCUGGGGUCCGGGGUAGAGACGGAUUUUAGGUAAAGACUAGAGAACCCCGAAUAAAGCGUGGGCUUCAGUGAAGCACUCCUGUGAGUCAGUACUGCUCUGUGAACUGGGGCGGAUGCACAGAGGAACACGAUCUAAUAAUGGGAAAAGAGGAGAUGGGGUGUGGGCUAUGUAGGAACUCUGUGCUAUCUUUACAAUUUUUCUACAAGUUCAUUAUUUUAAAAUUAAAAAUUUAGGAAGAAAAACAACAACAAAAACAUUCCCAGGGGAUUCCAUUGUCCAGUGGGCAUUAGAAUGUUGUUGUUGUUGUAAUUUGUUUAUUGUCACGUUAGCCAUUAUUUAUUAUUAUGUCACAUAUGUGAGACCACAAGGGCUGCUCCCCGCAUACCGGUGGCCCCCCCAGUUAGCUGCCUUGGGGAGGGGAGGAAGACCACCAGAGCCCAGGACGAUCUGCUGUGCAGAUCAUGAACCGUCGCCGCAGUGCCAGACAGACUCUUCAUCCGGACCGGCCGUCCCACUGGGUCCCCUCAGGAAAGCGCAGAAGCCGGGGACCCCAAACCGCGUCCAGCUCCUCCCACCCGCCCUUCUCGGAGCCGCGCACUUGGUAACUUGCGUGUGAAGAACUCACGGCCGUGUUGCCAGGAAACUGCGGGGAGCAGCCUUUGUGGUCUCACAUAUGCGUAACAUAAUAAUAAAUAACGGUUAACGUGAUAAUAAAUAAACAAAUAACAAUAAUUAUAACGUGCCCCAAGCCUGUUGUUUCUCCAAAAUUAAUUUAUGAUGAAUUACGACUCGAAUUCCUCGGAACAUACCAGUGGGAAGAGGAGAGGGGGCUAUUUUAUUUGCCACUGGGCUCAGAGUAGGGUUAAGAACUGUCUUUCCCUGAGCCAGACCUUGUCCCAGGUCCCUGGUAACCCAGGGAAGGUCGCCAGAGAGGAAUUCUCUCUUUCCCUCUGCUUCUCACAUCUCCUCCUCUGCCUAGGACAGUGAAGUUUUUUAGAUACUUUACUUGCAUUUCUAAUUCAGUUAUUCUUCUGAAAUUUAUUCAAAGGAUUUAUGCUUAUGAAAUUAUAAUAUAAUGCUGCCUAUAUGCCAAUGAGCUGGAGGCAAAGAAAAUAAUUUUCUUCAAUUUACAGUUAUGAGGCUGGAGGAAAAUGAUGCCUUCUUAUCACCUCUUUCUCUUUGUAUGUCUCGGUAUUUUUUUAAGUCUUCAGAAGGCAGGAGCUGAUGAUGAAUUCUUAAGCAGAUCACACUGAUAAUUGUAUUUCAGAGCUGUCAGCGCUGGGAAGACUGGCCAGCGACUGUCUCCAUGCACUUGAGCUAUUUGUGUCGCUGCCUUCCUUCUCAGGAACUCAGCCCUCAAUAAAGCCAACUCGCUGGGGAUAUUGUUAAAUCGUCUGAGAGGAUUAUUAGAUCGAAGGGAAAUUUAUGGAUGACACUUUGUAACAAUUAAUCAGGAACUGUUGAUGAAGUUUAAGUUGGUUCUUUAUUCCUGGACCAAAAAAAUAUAUAUAUACGUAUAUAGAUGUGUGUGUAUAUAUAUAUAUACACACACACAUAUAUAAAAUCAUAAUAAUAUUCAGCCCUUGUUCCAAUUGUCAAAUGGCUCAUUUUGUCACUCUGUUUGAUUAAUGAACCUUUUGGAGUCCCCCAAAAGUCCUAGUAAUACAAAUAAAGAGAAUCAUAAAUAUUGAAUAAGCUCACAGCACAGUUAACCUUGACUACAUUUUGGGACAUACUUGGAGAAACUUUGCUAUACGGAAAAUAAAUUGCUGUGGGGAUUAAAAAAAUAUGCACACCCAUACCAAAUUGGAGAUUUUGGAGAAUGUCACCUCUCUGACCUUGUCACUCUUAAUAAUCUGUUGUGAUUAAUUAGUUUAGUUAGCUUUACAAUCAGGUCAGCAGAGCGCCGGCAUGCUGGCGUGUUUUACCGAUGGGUCCCUGCCCAGCCCAGAAAGGGAUGCGGGCUGGGGUGAGGGAGGGUCUGGAGCUAAUGGGGCUGGUGUUCUAACCUCACAAGGUACUAAACGAGGGUGAUGGGUGAGGACGAUUUCAGGUCGUAAUUUACGGAGCAGGGCCCUGGGUGGGGGCAGGGAGCCUUCAUUGUGUGUUGGUUCUUGUGUUGAGUGCACUCACCCUUCUCAGGCAAAGAUCCCCCCUCACCAGCUUGGAGCUUUUGCUGACACCCCUUCAAAGUUCUGAUUCCAGAUCUGACCAGUUAUUUGACCCAGAAAACAGAUUCUAACUAGGCUGUAAUGACUUGCAAUUUUUGAAUGUAGCAUCUAGUCCAGGGGUUAAGAUUCCAGGGUAAGAGAGAAGUGGAUUUGAGUUCUCCUCUGCCGUAUCAGAGCCGUGUGGCCCUGGGCGGUUGGCUUUGACUUUCCGAGUCUCGGUUUCCUUAUCUGUAAAAUGGAGUUUCUACAUCCUAGGAUUUUUACAAGGAUGAAGUGAAACAAUUCAAAGAAACAGCUUGGCCAAAUGUCCAGCAUGCAAUACUCUGCAGUGGGUAGGACUGUGUCGUCCUGCAAUAGAAGUUGAAGUCCUAACCCCUGAGACCUGUGAAGGUGACCACUAGGGUACGCCUUAAGCCAAUGACUGGUGUCCUUAUAUAAGAAUCUGGACACAGUCACGGGGAAGACAGCCACACAAAGCCAGAGGCAGAGAUCGGAAGAUGCAGCUGCAGGCCAAGGACGGCCAGAAUUCACGGAGCCGAAGCGCCGGAGAAGCCAGGAAGGAUCUUCCCACAGAGCCUUCGGAGGGGCGGGGCCCUGCCGACACCUGGGUUUUGGAUUUCUAGUCUCUAGGACUGUGAGAAUACAUUUCCGCCGCUUCCAGCCAUGUUUUCCGUCAUUUGUGAAGGCAGCCUUUGGAAACUGAUACGUGCUGUAGGGUCACUGUGAUCUGGUUUGCAGGGAACAAGUAAGGUGGGGCUGAGGACUUGGCCUGAUGUGCCUGGCACUCGGUUUCUUGCUCCCCCUGAAUAGUCCUGAUCAUGCCAGCUGCCGCCCCACGCAGGCUGAGCGCCGCGAAGGCCGGGAUGCCGCUUCUCGCGUAUGGGUGAGGAGCCGUGGUUCGUUCAGUUCAGCAGAGCGCCAUCGCCGCCCCUGAAGUCCAGCUCUUAGGAUCAGCGCUCAGAACCCCAGACUCUGUGACGUCGUUGUAGAUGCAAAGUUGUCUCUGGUACAGGCCAAAGUGAUUCAUUUCAUGGUAUUGAUUUAUGUUGCCUUUUCUAAAAGUACAGUUAUUUCUAAAUAAAGACAACAUUUAAAAGUUAAGAAGUAAAUUACAAUAACGUUACUUAAAUUAUCAGCUUAAAAAUAAGGAACCUCACAUUACAUAGCAAAUAUAUCCUCGGAAAGUUGCAAGCGAGUGCAUUUUUUGUACGUAAUGUCUUAUUUUCCUGUUGACUUAUAAUGAGAAAUUCAAAAAAUCUAUUUCCUCCCAAAGAACAAUAUUGGCCCCAUUACACUAAAAAUUACACUGGAUCCUGCCAUUUCCUUUGUCAUUGUGGAACCAACAUGUUCCAGCCGUGACGUAAUCCUUCCAAUUCCUGGCUCCCGCUCUCCUCCAAGACUUUCCCGCAGGUCAUUGCAGAUCGCCACCUUCUGCCAAAGGUUUUCACCGACUCUCUGGUCCGACGAGGAACGCUGCUGAGCCUGACUCUAGCAGGAGGAAUAUGAGCCACAAUUGUAUGAAAAUCUUUCCUGGACACCUUCGGAUAAGAUGAAAUAAACUUGGAGAAUGGCAUCUGUGUUGGAAGAAAGUUCUGGACUCCACAGUGGCUUGCUCCAGAAAAGCCAAACCAUCAGCUCUCUUGACAGCACAGAGAAUGCCAGUGUGUGGGAAACAGACCGCGGUCACCCUGAGCGGCAAGGGGCUUUCCAGUGCUUAGGCUCUGAAUGUGAAACAUUUUAGAAAGAGAUGAAACAAUUUUUUUCGCUUGUAUUUUCCUAUGUGUUUGAAGGUCGAUAGAUGAUAAAAAUGUGUCUGAAUAAGUCUGAUUUAGUCUCAAAGAUCUCUUUCAAUAAACCUAAACAUUUCAAACAGAUAAGACAGGAUUGUGU